CCUCGAUCAAUCAUGUGGGAUAGCGUAUGAUCGAUCGUGUGGCGUGUGCUCGGCCUGACUCCGACAGCGACGCCGGCGCGAGGUAGGGGAGGUGGAUGCCCUGAGGUCGACGACGCUGCCUUACCGGCGAGGACGGAGCACGCUGCUGUUGGAAUUUAUUGCUUCACUGCGUUGCUGGAGCACGCUCCAACAUUUGCUGUGUCAAUGAUUUGGUUGGCGAUUCGACUAGACAUCGAUCUAUCGGUUGCACCAGGAAAGGUCUAGAGUUUUAUGAGUCUGAUUGAUUAUUCCUCCAUCUCACACCAUCUAUAAAACAUUUCCAUCAGCUAGCACUUCCUUCUUAACAACACCAAGAGUUGCUUGCAAGUUACAAGGUGAUGAGAGGCAGCAAGGAAACACAAACACACACACGCACACAGAGACAUGGGAUCCUUGGGCCCUGCCGUGAGCGUGAGCAUGGCCAAGGCCAACGGCGGCAAGGUGGCCGUCGGCGGCCAGAAGCAGCAGCAGAGCGGCACGUUCAGCUGCGGCUUCCAGAUGCCGCUGCACUACCCGCGGUACAGGAAGGCGGACUACGAGGCGAUGCCGGAGUGGCGCGUCGACUGCCUGCUCCGAGAGUACGGCCUCCCUGUCACAGGCGACAUCGAGGAAAAGAGGAGGUUCGCCAUGGGCGCCUUGCUCUGGCCCGGCCAGUAUUGAUUCACCUUGUUACAUGAGUAUUACAUAUUUCCAUUCGGAGCAGAGGCCGAUCAGCAAGCUACCGCCUAGCAGAGACUGAUCAGCAAUGGCAGCAGCAACAUCACGUCUCCAUGACCAUGUAUGAAGAAGACCUCGCGAUAUUAUAUUUCUAUCUAUAUCUAUAUCUAUAUCUAUAUCUAUAUCUAUAUCUAUACCUACUAUUAAAGGGAAUAAGUAUUCUUGGUUUGGUUUAGUCCUUUAUGUUUGGUUUACACAUGUUAAGCGAUCUAAGCCAGUUACUUGUAUGUUGAUGGGCCUUUUAUGGGCUUUCAUACAGAGACCGUGAAAAAUAAUUGGGUCAAAAUAAAUCAACAUUGUGAGAAUUGAACACAAGACCUCAUGUCCAUCUCUUAGAUGUAACAACCAAAGACUUAUGCACCUUUCAUAUUUACUAAUCCUAACUCACUCUAAAUAUAUGAGUGGCAGUCAUCAUGUUUAUUUAUUUUUUUGCGAGAAAAGGAGUUGAUAUUAAAACGGCCAGGAUCCGCACGCCCCGGUGCCUCCGCUCGGCCUGGCCGCUCCCGUAGGCCACGAACGCGAGGAGGGGAGAAGGCCUCCAUCGCCAGCCACCGCGAGGGGCUUUGCCCCGGCGGCUCUGGCCGGCGGCGGCGGGGAAGGGGAGGAGGAGGAGGGCUAGCGGCAAGGGGUCCACACAGAAAAUGAAAUUACAACCAAGCUCCUCUGCAACCCGACUAAGCUCGCGCCGUGGAUGAGCCGGUGACGCGCCGUUCGCCGCUGCUCGCUGACGCCUUGGAUCGAAGCAGCCCCUGGGCAAAACGGAAAGUCUCCGAUCAACGGUCCCUGUGGACCUACACCCAUGGUCGUCGUCAUCGUCACACCGCUCAACAUCGCCUUCCUUCUCCACAUCUUCAACCACCGGAAUCGCCAUCCCUCAAUCUCCGGCACGGGGGAACCAUGCACGGCCUCUCCACCGAGCAGCGAGCACGAAGAAAGGAGCUGGUCCACCGCGGAGCUCCACCGGAACUUCGCCGUCGAAGGGGGGGCCAACACCUAUAAAAAGCCGAUCCAGUCGCACCGCCGCCUCCACGACGCCACCGGCUGGCUCCCUAGGCACUCCUACACUAUGUACACGCUGCAAAUCGGGCCUCCCCCGUCCUCCUACCGCCGGAGCGUCCGACGGAGGGUGAGGGAGCCGCCGAUUCGGCAACGGCGAGGUGGAGAGCCCGGGGUUCGCACAAAUCUUCCUUCGUUCCUGUAGAUGGGGAAGGGUAAGGUCCAAGGCUCAUGUUUAGGGAGAGAUAAUUAAGCGAAUGAGCUAAUAAAGGAGGAUUGUGGGCUUAAAUAUAAUAUUUAAACGAAUGUGGCUAAUUAAAGAAAGGAUUAUGGAUAAAUCGAUGGAAUAACUAUUAGAAAGAUUAUGGUCUUAAUAAAUUCUACAUGAAGGAUUUGAGAUAAAAAGGUAGGAUAAUUAAAAGAAAGGAUCUAUAGGGCUUAAUGUGUUGGAGCUACUAAACUAGAAAAUGAAGGAUUUGAUUCCCGACUAAAACGGGUGAGGACUUCAUGGUAAUUAAUGAAAGGAUCAUACUUAAAUGCCAUUAAAAAAAUGAUUGUAUUUAAAUGAAAUUAGUGGGAUAUUACGCCCCGCAAAGAAAAUAUGAACACGACUAAAUUGCGACGUAUUUUUUUAUGUUCAUUUUGUAGAAGGACGAUGCUGCAUUGCAACAUGUUCUUCAUAAUGAAUCCAAUGCUGUGGGACAUUAUGCUUGUGCAAAACAUUAAUUUUCCCCGUUGCAACGCAUGGGCAUAUGUGCUAGUUCCUUUGUAAAGAAAUACAAGAUCACUAAUAGUGAUCUAAACUACCUUAUGUUUCUUUACGAAGGGAGUAUCAUCUAAUCGUACUCUUCAAUUAUCCAUAGACAGUGGGGUCAUGUACCCUGCUCCCCCACUUUGCCGCCGCUGGCAGGGACGAA
RNAcentral lists this ribosomal RNA (2669 nucleotides) under Triticum aestivum (bread wheat). Its description in RNAcentral is "partial small subunit ribosomal RNA". The record is from RNAcentral. Lineage: Eukaryota; Viridiplantae; Streptophyta; Magnoliopsida; Poales; Poaceae.